This 444-nucleotide ribosomal RNA is filed under the name uncultured bacterium. Its description in RNAcentral is "bacterial SSU rRNA". It matches the Rfam family "Bacterial small subunit ribosomal RNA", at positions 354 to 796 of the family's 1533-position model. The record is from RNAcentral.
GUAGGGAAUAUUGGACAAUGGGUGAGAGCCUGAUCCAGCCAUGCCGCGUGCAGGAAGAAGGCCUUCUGGGUUGUAAACUGCUUUUGCCAGGGGAUAAAAUUUCUUUGCGAAGAAAAUUGAAGGUACCUGGUGAAUAAGCCACGGCUAACUACGUGCCAGCAGCCGCGGUAAUACGUAGGUGGCAAGCGUUGUCCGGAUUUAUUGGGUUUAAAGGGUGCGUAGGCGGUUCCAUAAGUCAGUGGUGAAAUACAAUAGCUUAACUAUUGAGGUGCCAUUGAUACUGCGGAACUUGAGUACAGACGAGGUAGGCGGAAUUGACGGUGUAGCGGUGAAAUGCUUAGAUAUCGUCAAGAACACCGAUAGCGAAGGCAGCUUACUAGACUGUAACUGACGCUGAGGCACGAAAGUGUGGGGAUCAAACAGGAUUAGAUACCCCUGUAGUCC